AAAGUCGUAACAAGGUUUCCGUAGGUGAACCUGCGGAAGGAUCAUUAAAAGUGCCCUGGCUCAGCCAGCGGACUACACCACUGUCCUGCCUCUUAGGGGGUAUGGUUAUUGUGUCUACCCAUUGUGAAACUUCUACCUUUGCUUCGGCAGCACUCUCAGCGAAAGCUGGAGGGGUAAGGCUGUCAGAAGCCCAUAUCAAACUAGUUGAUGAAAUGUCAUGCUGUCUGAUAACCACUAUUUGAGAAAUCAAAUUAUCUUAAAACUUUCAGCAACGGAUCUCUUGGUUCUC
RNAcentral lists this unclassified non-coding RNA (289 nucleotides) under Ascomycota sp. Its description in RNAcentral is "partial contains small subunit ribosomal RNA, internal transcribed spacer 1, and 5.8S ribosomal RNA". The stretch from base 1 to 47 matches the Rfam family "Eukaryotic small subunit ribosomal RNA", at positions 1785 to 1831 of the family's 1831-position model. The record is from RNAcentral. Lineage: Eukaryota; Fungi; Ascomycota.